This 65-nucleotide transfer RNA is filed under the name Typhlocybinae gen. 1 sp. 1 BY-2021a. RNAcentral's name for it is "tRNA-Thr". It matches the Rfam family "tRNA". Rfam says of the family: Transfer RNA (tRNA) molecules are approximately 80 nucleotides in length. Their secondary structure includes four short double-helical elements and three loops (D, anti-codon, and T loops). Lineage: Eukaryota; Metazoa; Arthropoda; Insecta; Hemiptera; Cicadellidae. The record is from RNAcentral.
GUUUUAAUAGUUUAAAUAAAAUAAUGAUUUUGUAAAUCAAAGCUAAGGUUUAACCUUUUAAAUCA